This 753-nucleotide ribosomal RNA is filed under the name uncultured cyanobacterium. RNAcentral's name for it is "bacterial SSU rRNA". It matches the Rfam family "Bacterial small subunit ribosomal RNA", at positions 28 to 829 of the family's 1533-position model. Lineage: Bacteria; Bacillati; Cyanobacteriota. The record is from RNAcentral.
GAUGAACGCUGGCGGUCUGCUUAACACAUGCAAGUCGAACGGAAUCUUUCGGGAUUUAGUGGCGGACGGGUGAGUAACGCGUGAGAAUCUGCCUUCAGGUUCGGGACAACAGUUGGAAACGGCUGCUAAUACCGGAUGUGCCGAGAGGUGAAACUUAAUUGCCUGGAAAUGACCUCGCGUCUGAUUACCUAUUGGAGUGGUAACGGCACCCCUAGGCAACAAUCAUUACCUGGUCUGAAAGGAUAAUCACCCACACUGGGACUGAAACACGGCCCAAACUCCUACGGGAGGCAGCAGUGGGGAAUUUUCCGCAUUGGGCGCAAGCCUGACGGACCAUGACCGCGUGAGGGAAAAAGGUCUGUGGAUUGUAAACCUCUUUUGAUAGGGAAAAACACAGUGACGGUACCUAUCGUAUCAACCUCGGCUAACUCCGUGCCAGCAGCCGCGGUAAUACAGAAUACGCACGCGUUAUCCGGAAUUAUUGGGCGUAAAGAGUCCGUGUGUGGGUCACCAAGUCAGUUGUUAAACUGUGAAGCUUACUUCAUAGAGGCGACUGACACUGCAGCUCUAGAGUGUGAUAGGGGUAGAGGGAACUUCCAGUGUAGCGGUGAAAUGCGUAUAUACUGGAAAAACACCGGUGGCGAAAGCUCUCUACUGACCUGCUCUGACACUGAGGGUACGACGCUAGGGGAGCAAUAGGAAUUAUAUACCCUGUUGUUCAUACCGUAAACGAUGGUUACUAUGCUGUGACCG